RNAcentral lists this ribosomal RNA (449 nucleotides) under uncultured bacterium. Its description in RNAcentral is "partial 16S ribosomal RNA". It matches the Rfam family "Bacterial small subunit ribosomal RNA", at positions 29 to 523 of the family's 1533-position model. The record is from RNAcentral.
AACGAACGCUGGCGGCAUGCCUAACACAUGCAAGUCGAACGAAGGCUUCGGCCUUAGUGGCGCACGGGUGCGUAACGCGUGGGAAUCUGCCCCUCGGUUCGGAAUAACAGUUAGAAAUGACAGCUAAUACCGGAUGAUGACUUCGGUCCAAAGAUUUAUCGCCGAGGGAUGAGCCCGCGUAAGAUUAGGUAGUUGGUGGGGUAAAGUCCUACCAAGCCGACGAUCUUUAGCUGGUCUGAGAGGAUGAUCAGCCACACUGGGACUGAGUCACGGCCCAGACUCCUACGGGAGGCAGCAGUGGGGAAUAUUGGACAAUGGGCGAAAGCCUGAUCCAGCAAUGCCGCGUGAGUGAUGAAGGCCUUAGGGUUGUAAAGCUCUUUUACCAGGGAUGAUAAUGACAGUACCUGGAGAAUAAGCUCCGGCUAACUCCGUGCCAGCCGCCGCCGUAA